UGAAUACGAGACGCUACGGCGUCGAAGCAGUCUAUGUCAUACUUCCAAGAAAAGCUCGCAAUGUCAUAAACAAAUAAUGCCUGUACCAUAACCGACACAGGUGGGUAGGUAGAGUAUACUAAGGGGCGCGAGAUAACUCUCUCUAAGGAACUCGGCAAAAUGACUCCGUAACUUCGGGAGAAGGAGUGCCUUAUUUAUAAGGUUGCAAUAACAAGAUCCAAGCAACUGUUUAUCAAAAACACAGGUCUCCGCUAAGUCGUAAGACGAUGUAUGGGGGCUGACGCCUGCCCAGUGCCAGAAGGUUAAAGAAGUUGGUUAGCAUUCGCGAAGCUGAUAACUGAAGCCCUGGUGAACGGCGGCCGUAACAAUAACGGUCCUAAGGUAGCGAAAUUCCUUGUCGGGUAAGUUCCGACCCGCACGAAAGGCGUAAUGAUUUGGAUACUGUCUCGGAGAGGGGCUCGGUGAAAUAGACUUGUCUGUGAAGAUGCGGACUACCUGCACCUGGACAGAAAGACCCUAUGAAGCUUUACUGUAACUUGAAAUUGAAAUUGGACUUUAUUUGCGCAGCAUAGGUGGGAGGCGUUGAGAGUAUUCUUGCGGGAAUAUUGGAGCCAUCAGUGAGAUACCACUCUUGUAAUGUUAGAUUUCUAACUUUGGAUCAUUAUCUGGUCAAAGAACAGUUUCAGGCGGGCAGUUUGACUGGGGCGGUCGCCUCCCAAAUGGUAACGGAGGCGUACAAAGGUUUCCUCUGAACGGGUAGAAAUCGUAUCUAGAGUGUAAAGGCAUAAGGAAGCUUGACUGUGAGACCUACAAGUCGAGCAGGGACGAAAGUCGGUCUUAGUGAUCUGACGGUGCUGAGUGGAAAGGCCGUCACUCAACGGAUAAAAGUUACUCUAAGGAUAACAGGCUGAUCUCCCCCAAGAGUUCACAUCGACGGGGAGGUUUGGCACCUCGAUGUCGGCUCAUCGCAUCCUGGGGCGGUAGUACGUCCCAAGGGUUGGGCUGUUCGCCCAUGAAAGCGGUACGCGAGCUGGGUUCAGAACGUCGUGAGACAGUUCGGUCCAUAUCCGGUGUAGGCGUUAGAAUAUUGAGAGGAGCCUUCUUUAGUACGAGAGGACCGAGAAGGACAUACCUCUGGUGUACCAGUUAUCGUGCCAACGGUAAACGCUGGGUAGCUAUGUAUGGAGAGGAUAACCGCUGAAAGCAUCUAAGUGGGAAGCCCACCUCAAGAUAAGUAUUCUC
RNAcentral lists this ribosomal RNA (1242 nucleotides) under metagenome. Its description in RNAcentral is "bacterial LSU rRNA". It matches the Rfam family "Bacterial large subunit ribosomal RNA", at positions 1564 to 2815 of the family's 2925-position model. The record is from RNAcentral.